This 253-nucleotide ribosomal RNA is filed under the name uncultured bacterium. RNAcentral describes it as "partial 16S ribosomal RNA". It matches the Rfam family "Bacterial small subunit ribosomal RNA", at positions 524 to 776 of the family's 1533-position model. The record is from RNAcentral.
UCCGAAGGGGGCUAGCGUUGCUCGGAAUCACUGGGCGUAAAGCGCACGUAGGCGGACUCUUAAGUCGGUGGUGAAAUCCUGGAGCUCAACUCCAGAACUGCCUUCGAUACUGGGAGUCUCGAGUUCGGGAGAGGUGAGUGGAACUGCGAGUGUAGAGGUGAAAUUCGUAGAUAUUCGCAAGAACACCAGUGGCGAAGGCGGCUCACUGGCCCGAUACUGACGCUGAGGUGCGAAAGCGUGGGGAGCAAACAGG